This 676-nucleotide ribosomal RNA is filed under the name uncultured euryarchaeote. Its description in RNAcentral is "bacterial SSU rRNA". It matches the Rfam family "Archaeal small subunit ribosomal RNA", at positions 197 to 876 of the family's 1478-position model. Lineage: Archaea; Methanobacteriati; Methanobacteriota. The record is from RNAcentral.
AGUCGCCUAAGGAUGAGGCCGCGACCGAUCAGGUGUUGGCGAGGUAACGGCUCACCAAGCCUUUUACCGGUGCGGGCCGUGAGAGCGGGAGCCCGGAGAUGGGUACUGAGACAAGGACCCAGGCCCUACGGGGCGCAGCAGUCGCGAAACCUUUGCAAUACACGAAAGUGUGACAGGGCUAUCCCGAGUGCCAUCCGCUGAGGAAGGCUUUUACCCAGUCUAGAUAGCUGGGGGAAUAAGGAGAGGGCAAGUCUGGUGUCGGCCGCCGCGGUAAUACCAGCUCUCCGAGUGGUGUGGAUGUUUAUUGGGCCUAAAGCAUCCGUAGCUGGCUAGGUCAGUCCCUUGUCAAAUCCACCGAAUUAAUCGUUGGAUCGCGGGGGAUACUGCUUGGCUAGGGGACGAGAGAGGCAGACGGUAUUUUCGGGGUAGGGGUGAAAUCCUAUAAUCCCGGGAAGACCACCAGUGGCGAAGGCUGUCUGCUAGAACGCGCCCGACGGUGAGGGAUGAAAGCUGGGGGAGCGAACCGGAUUAGAUACCCGGGUAGUCCCAGCCGUAAACUAUGCGCGUUAGGUGUAUCGGUGACCACGAGUUACCGAGGUGCCGAAGGGAAACCGUGAAACGUGCCGCCUGGGAAGUACAGUCGCAAGGCUGAAACUUAAAGGAAUUGGCGGGGGAG